This 2024-nucleotide long non-coding RNA is filed under the name Salmo salar (Atlantic salmon). RNAcentral's name for it is "lncRNA (ENSSSAG00000107174.1)". The record is from RNAcentral. Lineage: Eukaryota; Metazoa; Chordata; Actinopteri; Salmoniformes; Salmonidae.
CAGUUAUUUGUUUAAAAAUGCCUUAGUAAGUUACAUAGUAUGUGUUACUGCUGUUCUCUCCUUCUUCCCUUUUUUCCCCUAGUCUCAGCACGUUUUCACCCACUCACCACCGCUCAACUCUGUUUCCACAGUCAUGAGACCCAGUCUCCUUCCACCAUUGUCACGGUGAUAGCGGAAAAGAAUGGCCUUCAGGCCAAAGAUGGUGGAUAAAUGAAGGUAGUUCACUCAGGCCAUUUACCACUGUCUGCUGAAGGGGGGGGGGUGUGUUCUCCAUAGACACCAAUGCGAUAGCUGUCUGCUUAGUCCUUGACUGCCAUUGAAACAGAACCUCUGAGGGAGUGGAACAUCUCGCUUCCUCUUCCGUCUCUGCUUGAGACUCCAGAAUGCUGAGUCACAAUGACAAGGCAGUAAUACAGCCAGGGCAGAGCCUUAGUCAUUCCAUACUGUAGUAGAACCAACAGGAGGUUAUGACAGGAGGACUGGGAAGGAGGGAGGGAAAUAAGAAUAGAGGGGGAGGGGGAAAGAGUACAGACUAAAAACGCUGUGUCACCCUUCAGAACUUCAAACGAAAGAGUUCUGUAACGAUGAAUCAUUUACAGUGUUACUAUCACUUCUGUUUAUAACUUUAACAAGAACAUUCUUAGUUUUUACGGUAAAAUUGUAAUGCUAAGAGAUGGAUAAAAAUGUACAGGGAGGGUACCUGGAGGAAAAUGGGAGAGGGUCAUGCCUUUUCAAUUUCAGUCAAGGGGAGGGUUUAGUAUUUUUUUUAAAUCUAGUCCAGGGGAGGGUCAUGUAGUUUGUAAUGAAAGAAAUGUCAAUAUUUCUCAGUGUUUUAGAAUUCGUUGCUUAUUAGGCUAUAUAUCGAUGUAUGCCUGAUUCCACCCGGUUCUCUGCUGGAAAUGCAAUAUGAAGUGUGCCUAUAGGCUAUUUAGCGUGGUCUCAAUCAAAUGAUUCAUAGCCCCCACAGCCACAACUGAAACCACUGAGCUGCCUUACUCAAGAAAGCAAAAAAGAGACCAUGUUGUAUGCGUCUUUAUUAACUCAUUUAGUUAUUUUUUUGUACAUUGUUUGCAAACUGAUAUGUGACACGUAUUAAUGCCAAAAUACCAUGCAAUACACGUGAGGCUCAAACAAAGCAAUACAUGAUUAACAAAGCUGCCCUGAUUGACAGGUCGUCAUUGGAUAAGAUCAACACAUAGGCCUAUCUCUACGUCCAUUCUUAGCCUGUAAUUUGAGCAAUUUGUGUACUAUUAAAAAAUAUUUUCAUGAAAUGUUUAUAAAGGCACAUUUUCCUCGGACCUGCAAAUACAUUGAUAGAUUCAUGCAAUGCUUUUACUAUAAAUUAGAUCUUUCCACCCUUACUCUUGUCCAUAGUGGUCUGUGAACACACAACCUUCUGGCCCGCAGCAAUGUGCGCUAUUAAAAUUCCUGCGUUGCCAUGUAAUGCUGACAGGAUGAAGAACAGUUUCUAAAACGACAUAUCUAAGGCUCUGGUGUCUCCAAGAGGUGAGGGUAAACUGUAAGGAUGUUCUCUGUAUACACUUUGUUUUAAUAAUUUUUGGGGGGUAUAUGGGAGUGUCACUUGUUUUUUCUCAAGAGUUCAGGGAAGGUUUAGGUAAAAAAUAAAUUGCUGAAGGUAGUGACAUCCAUUUUCAUUUCAGAGAUGUCCGAUUUUCUCUAUGUGUGUAAGCCUUAUUAUGAAUAACGUUUACUCCUGAAGUUGGCCCUUCUGCUUAAACAAGGUCACUUUGAAUGAGUGAGGGUUGCAGCUGACUAGCAACAGUUCAUAAGGGUUGCUGCUGACUAACAACAGUUCAUAAGGGUUUCUGCUGACUAACAACAUUUCAUAAGGGUUGCAGCUGAUGAACAACAGUUCAUAAGGGUUGCUGCUGACUAACAACAGUUCAUAAGGGUUGCUGCUGACUAACAACAGUUCAUAAGGGUUGCUGCUUACUAACAACAGUUCAUAAGGGUUGCUGCUGACUAACAACAGUUCAUAAGGGUUGCUGCUGACUAACAGUCCA